RNAcentral lists this long non-coding RNA (916 nucleotides) under Brachypodium distachyon (stiff brome). Its description in RNAcentral is "long non-coding RNA (BDIS_LNC004821)". The record is from RNAcentral. Lineage: Eukaryota; Viridiplantae; Streptophyta; Magnoliopsida; Poales; Poaceae.
GACUGGACAAACACUGUUCGCCUGACUAGACGGGUAACGUCCCUCCUGUCGGCUCAUUAAAUGCGUCGUGCGCCUCACCGUAACAUCCCAAAAUUAGAAAACCUUCCAUAUGCAUUACACUCAUAAGCAUCAUGCCACAUUUGCAUUUCUGAAUUCAAAUUUGAAUCUCAAAAGGCUUUAAAAAUAUUUUUAUUUCAAUUUGAACCCUAGGGUUUCACCCAUUUGAGCUUUGGAUCUUAAAACCCAUAGGGUUUAUCUAUAAAUGGGAUUUAUUGCAUCCCAAAUUUUUUGUAUAAUUAUUUGGAGUUGAAAAACUAUUUUAUUUAAAUAGUUAUAUAGCCCUAAAGGCAUUUAUAGGGCAAAUGUAUUUUUAGAUAUUUUAUUUUGAGGGGAAACUACUCCCAAAAGUUGAAUCAUGAUAGAACAUGAUUUUACAAAUUUUCUAGAAUUUAUUUGGAUCAAUUUGGAGUUCAAAAUCAAAAGAUAUCAAAGAAAAACAGAAAAGGAAAAAAGAAAAGAAAAAAAAGGAGAAAACCAGACCAGUCCGACCACUUGCGCCGAACCGGCCCAGCUUCGCCCGCGCUCGAACUAGACCGAGCCGGCCCAGCCAGCCGCGCCCGUGCCUGUGCCGCUGACGAGCGGGGCCCGCAUGUCGGCAUCGUCUUCCCGGAAUCACGCGCGCGACGCGCGCUCGCCUUCCUUCUUCGCCGCCGCGCGUUCACCGCCGGGAUCUCCUCUCCCGUCCUUCUUUCAGAGCCCUGAGCACGUCCUUUUAAAGCCCCUGCCUCCUCUCUUCUUCCCCCUUGCUUCCCCAGUCAAUCGCACGCCCACGCCGCCGCGAUUUCUCGCCGUAGCUCACCGCCGCCCGCCGCCGUUCCAACUGCACGGUAUGCCAUGGACGACCGAACCUCACCCC